Propithecus coquereli (Coquerel's sifaka) is the source of this 749-nucleotide long non-coding RNA. RefSeq lists it as uncharacterized. Lineage: Eukaryota; Metazoa; Chordata; Mammalia; Primates; Indriidae. The record is from RefSeq and is a predicted model, not a curated record. The transcript is spliced from 3 exons.
AACAUGGAGAAAGCACAAGUUUGAAAGACGAGCUCUUCAGUGCCUUUGGACAUACCGAGUUUGAGGUGCCAACAGGGCACGUAGGUGGAAAUGCGCAGGAGACAAUUGGAAAUGUGGGCCUGGGUGUCACAGACAAGUCCAGGCUUCUGCUUUACAGGUGGGCCCUGAUUCCAACGACAAGUGCCCCUGUGAGGGACAGAAGGGGAGAAGACACAGAGAGAACUUGAGAAGGCCAUUUGGAGACAAGGAUGGAAGUGACACAGACCAAAACCCCUGGCAUCACCCAGAGUUGGAAGGGAAAAUCAAUGAAGAUUUCAGUACCGAUGUCUUUCUCCAUCAUUUAAGCCAAGACUGUGGAGCCCACAUGGCCCCAGGGAUUAUGAGGGAGAUCUUUCCUGGGAGCCACACCUCCUGCUCUUGCACCCAGGCCAAGUGACGAGAGGGUCUGUGACCCAGCUGGGCAGCAAGUGGCAAAGGAGAGAGCCGUCUCCAGGCCCCAUCCUCGUGACUGCUGUGCGAACAAGCUGCUGAUUUAGACUGUCCUUCUAAAUUCCAGUGACAGAGAGGGCUGGCUCUCCUCAGAGGGUCGCAAGGGGUUGGCUCUCAGCAGCCAGGAGACAGGACCAACCAGGGGACCUCAGGGUAAUGUGCCCUUGGGAAUGGAGGCCCCCAGCUUUCCCCUGGCCCUGCUGGACUUCCUGAGUGGAGAUUGGAGCUCGGGCAGAGACCCCCGCCUCCAGGACAGGUCU